UUUGUAAUGUUUUGAACAACCCACAAUAAUAAAAAAAAAGAAAUAUAAACCCUAGUGGGGAAAAGACCAUAAAUUUGGUAGAGAGAUAAAUAAGGAAAGUUUUCAAGGAAGUAAAAUAAGGUAAGUGUGUCAUUUAAAUAUAUAGUGAACAUAGUGGAUGAUGAACAAAGAAAUCAAAUAAUUGAUGAUGAAGUUAUAUUUGAAAUUCUCUGAAAGUGUAGAAGAUAAAGAUAGACACAGAGCGUGAAGAAAGAAGUUAGAAGAGAAAUUAAAGCAUCAACUUAAGAAAUCUGAUAUUCUUGAGAGAAAUCAGAAUUGGGAAAGAAGCACUAAUCAAAGAAAUAAUGGAAGAAUACCUUCCUUCCUGCUAUGAAGAAAGAUGAACAUAUAAAUUGAAUUUUUUUCAUUUGCACUAUGUCUUCACACUUCUAUCCAUUUUUAUGCAAUGGACCUUUGAAAUAUUUCUCUCUCCUGAAAUGCUUUGUUUCCACUUGAAUCCUGCUCAGUGUUUGAAUUAUCCUUCCUUCAAUGUUUCUAAUAUAUUCACUUAUUAAAAAAAUUUCUGAUUAUAU
This 572-nucleotide long non-coding RNA is filed under the name Marmota monax (woodchuck). The record is from RNAcentral. Lineage: Eukaryota; Metazoa; Chordata; Mammalia; Rodentia; Sciuridae.